This 267-nucleotide ribosomal RNA is filed under the name uncultured bacterium. RNAcentral's name for it is "partial 16S ribosomal RNA". It matches the Rfam family "Bacterial small subunit ribosomal RNA", at positions 524 to 776 of the family's 1533-position model. The record is from RNAcentral.
UACGUAGGUGGCAAGCGUUGUCCGGAUUUACUGGGCGUAAAGAGUAUGUAGGCGGACAUUUAAGUAGAAAGUGAAAGGUUGGAGCUCAACUCCAACACUGCUUCCUAUACUGGGUGUCUUGAGUGCCGGAGAGGAAAGCGGAACGACACGUGUAGCGGUUAAAUGCGGGGAUAUGUGUCGGAACAACAAUGGCGAAGGCAGCUUUCUGGACUGAGCCGCAAGGCUUAAAACUGACGCUGAGAUACGAAAGCCGAGGGAGCGAACAGG